RNAcentral lists this ribosomal RNA (498 nucleotides) under Triticum aestivum (bread wheat). RNAcentral's name for it is "partial small subunit ribosomal RNA". The record is from RNAcentral. Lineage: Eukaryota; Viridiplantae; Streptophyta; Magnoliopsida; Poales; Poaceae.
AUGUCUUCCUCCGGCUCCUCCCAGAUCAACCUAAACAACCAGGUCAUGGAGAAGCUCACCCGUAUGAACUACAUAAUGUGGCGCAUCCAGAUCAUGCCGCAGCUAAGGGGAGCUGGCGUCUUCGGCUAUGCCGAUGACAGCACGCCGGAGCCAGCCCGCUUCCUUCCUGGCAAGGACAAGGACGACAAGGACACCACCUAGCCCAGUCCUCUCCACCCAAUCUGGGUCCGGGAGGAUCAACAAGUGCUCAGGUACCUGCUCAACAAUCUCUCCAAAGAGGUGUUGGUGCAGGUGACCGCGAUCACCACGACGCACGCGCUCUGGACAACCCUGGCGGCCAUGUUCUCCUCACAGUCGCUCAGCCGCAUCAACAACAUCCGCACGACUCUGCUUCAUGCGCAGAGGGAACUCAGCCGAUCGCCACCUUCUUUGCCCACAUGCACGGCCUCGCUGAUGAACUUGCAGCGGCCGGCAAACCGCUGCAAGACGACGAGAUAG